This 486-nucleotide ribosomal RNA is filed under the name uncultured bacterium. RNAcentral describes it as "partial 16S ribosomal RNA". It matches the Rfam family "Bacterial small subunit ribosomal RNA", at positions 30 to 507 of the family's 1533-position model. The record is from RNAcentral.
AUUGAACGCUGGCGGCAUGCCUUACACAUGCAAGUCGAACGGCAGCACGGGUGCUUGCACCUGGUGGCGAGUGGCGAACGGGUGAGUAAUACAUCGGAACAUGUCCUGUAGUGGGGGAUAGCCCGGCGAAAGCCGGAUUAAUACCGCAUACGAUCUACGGAUGAAAGCGGGGGACCUUCGGGCCUCGCGCUAUAGGGUUGGCCGAUGGCUGAUUAGCUAGUUGGUGGGGUAAAGGCCUACCAAGGCGACGAUCAGUAGCUGGUCUGAGAGGACGACCAGCCACACUGGGACUGAGACACGGCCCAGACUCCUACGGGAGGCAGCAGUCGGGAAUUUUGGACAAUGGGCGAAAGCCUGAUCCAGCAAUGCCGCGUGUAUGAAGAAGGCCUUCGGGUUGUAAAGCACUUUUGUCCGGAAAGAAAUCCUUGGCUCUAAUACAGUCGGGGGAUGACGGUACCGGAAGAAUAAGCACCGGCUAACUACGUG